AUUGAACGCCGGCGGAAUGCUUUACACAUGCAAGUCGAACGGCAGCACGGGGGCAACCCUGGUGGCGAGUGGCGAACGGGUGAGUAAUACAUCGGAACGUGCCCAGUCGAGGGGGAUAACGUAGCGAAAGUUACGCUAAUACCGCAUACGAUCUACGGAUGAAAGCGGGGGACCGUAAGGCCUCGCGCGAUUGGAGCGGCCGAUGUCAGAUUAGGUAGUUGGUGAGGUAAAGGCUCACCAAGCCGACGAUCUGUGGCUGGUCUGAGAGGACGACCAGCCACACUGAGACUGAGAAACGUCCCAGACUCCUACGGGAGGCAGCAGUGGGGAAUUUUGGACAAUGGGCGCAAGCCUGAUCCAGCCAUUCCGCGUGCAGGACGAAGGCCUUCGGGUUGUAAACUGCUUUUGUACGGAACGAAAAGGCUCUGGUUAAUACCUGGGGCUCAUGACGGUACCGUAAGAAUAAGCACCGGCUAACUACGUGCCAGCAGCCGCAGUAA
RNAcentral lists this ribosomal RNA (500 nucleotides) under uncultured bacterium. RNAcentral's name for it is "partial 16S ribosomal RNA". It matches the Rfam family "Bacterial small subunit ribosomal RNA", at positions 30 to 523 of the family's 1533-position model. The record is from RNAcentral.